Molecule: ribosomal RNA, 464 nt
Filed under: uncultured bacterium
Lineage: Bacteria
Description: partial 16S ribosomal RNA
Rfam family: Bacterial small subunit ribosomal RNA
Source: RNAcentral
GACGAACGCUGGCGGCGUGCUUAACACAUGCAAGUCGAACGGAAAGGCCCUGCUUGCAGGGUACUCGAGUGGCGAACGGGUGAGUAACACGUGGGUGAUCUGCCCUGCACUUCGGGAUAAGCCUGGGAAACUGGGUCUAAUACCGGAUAGGAGCCAUUUUUAGUGUGAUGGUUGGAAAGUUUUUUCGGUGUAGGAUGAGCUCGCGGCCUAUCAGCUUGUUGGUGGGGUAAUGGCCUACCAAGGCGGCGACGGGUAGCCGGCCUGAGAGGGUGGACGGCCACAUUGGGACUGAGUUACGGCCCAGACUCCAACGGGAGGAAGAAGUGGGGAAUAUUGACCAAUGGGGGCAAGCCUGUUGCAGCAACGCCGCGUGGGGGAUGCCGGCCUUCGGGUGGUAAACUCCUUCCGCUAGGGACGAAGCUUUUUGGGACGGUCCUAAGUUAAGAAGCACCGGCAAACUACUU